GACGAACGCUGGCGGCGUGCUUAACACAUGCAAGUCGAACGGAAAGGCCCUGCUUUUGUGGGGUGCUCGAGUGGCGAACGGGUGAGUAACACGUGAGUAACCUGCCCUUGACUUUGGGAUAACAUCAGGAAACUGGGGCUAAUACCGGAUAGGAGCUCCUGCUGCAUGGUGGGGGUUGGAAAGUUUCGGCGGUUGGGGAUGGACUCGCGGCUUAUCAGCUUGUUGGUGGGGUAGUGGCUUACCAAGGCUUUGACGGGUAGCCGGCCUGAGAGGGUGACCGGCCACAUUGGGACUGCGAUACGGCCCAGACUCCUACGGGAGGCAGCAGUGGGGAAUAUUGCACAAUGGGCGGAAGCCUGAUGCAGCAACGCCGCGUGCGGGAUGACGGCCUUCGGGUUGUAAACCGCUUUCGCCUGUGACGAAGCGUGAGUGACGGUAAUGGGUAAAGAAGCACCGGCUAACUACGUG
Molecule: ribosomal RNA, 468 nt
Filed under: uncultured bacterium
Lineage: Bacteria
Description: partial 16S ribosomal RNA
Rfam family: Bacterial small subunit ribosomal RNA
Source: RNAcentral